RNAcentral lists this microRNA (22 nucleotides) under Picea abies (Norway spruce). RNAcentral's name for it is "pab-miR11408a". The record is from miRBase by way of RNAcentral. Lineage: Eukaryota; Viridiplantae; Streptophyta; Pinopsida; Pinales; Pinaceae.
AAAGCUGGGUCUGAUGUGCACC